UGCAAGUCGAGCGCCCCGCAAGGGGAGCGGCGGACGGGUUAGUAACGCGUGGGAAUGUACCCUUUUCUACGGAAUAGCCUCGGGAAACUGAGAUUAAUACCGUAUACGCCCUUCGGGGGAAAGAUUUAUCGGAGAAGGAUCAGCCCGCGUAAGAUUAGAUAGUUGGUGGGGUAAUGGCCUACCAAGUCUACGAUCUUUAGCUGGUUUGAGAGGAUGAUCAGCAACACUGGGACUGAGACACGGCCCAG
RNAcentral lists this ribosomal RNA (248 nucleotides) under uncultured bacterium. RNAcentral's name for it is "partial 16S ribosomal RNA". It matches the Rfam family "Bacterial small subunit ribosomal RNA", at positions 56 to 334 of the family's 1533-position model. The record is from RNAcentral.